Pelobates cultripes (western spadefoot toad) is the source of this 370-nucleotide non-coding RNA. The record is from the annotation of a GenBank genome assembly. Lineage: Eukaryota; Metazoa; Chordata; Amphibia; Anura; Pelobatidae.
GAAAUCUCGGGCUAUCGGGCCAAUAUGGCCAAAUCCAGUGCUCUCCCUAUCUACAUGACUCAAACUGAGAGAGAAAACAUACACCGCACCUACAAAAUCCGGAUGGAGCUAGAGGCGCUUAAAUAUCUGGGGAUAAGCCUCACGGCGGACCUGGGUGCCUUGUACGCCCAUAACUUUACGCCCUUGUGGAGAACCAUAACCAAAGAUUUAGAAACGUGGCUAGACAAGCCCAUAUCGUGGAUAGGCCGGAUCCAUGUCAUAAAAAUGAAUGUCCUCCCUCGGAUAUUGUUUAUGUUCCAGGCACUACCCAUACACUUGUCGAAGGCCCAAUUAGCACCAAUCCAACAGGCUAUAGGUCGCUUUAUUUGGC